AUUGAACGCUGGCGGCAGGCCUAACACAUGCAAGUCGAACGGUAACAGGAAACAGCUUGCUGUUUCGCUGACGAGUGGCGGACGGGUGAGUAAUGUCUGGGAAACUGCCUGAUGGAGAGGGAUAACUACUGGAAACGGUAGCUAAUACCGCAUAACGUCGCAAGACCAAAGAGGGGGACCUUCGGGCCUCUUGCCAUCGGAUGUGCCCAGAUGGGAUUAGCUGGUAGGUGGGGUAACGGCUCACCUAGGCGACGAUCCCUAGCUGGUCUGAGAGGAUGACCAGCCACACUGGAACUGAGACACGGUCCAGACUCCUACGGGAGGCAGCAGUGGGGAAUAUUGCACAAUGGGCGCAAGCCUGAUGCAGCCAUGCCGCGUGUAUGAAGAAGGCCUUCGGGUUGUAAAGUACUUUCAGCGGGGAGGAAGGGAGUAAAGUUAAUACCUUUGCUCAUUGACGUUACCCGCAGAAGAAGCACCGGCUAACUCCGUGCCAGCCGCCGCUGUAA
Molecule: ribosomal RNA, 506 nt
Filed under: uncultured bacterium
Lineage: Bacteria
Description: partial 16S ribosomal RNA
Rfam family: Bacterial small subunit ribosomal RNA
Source: RNAcentral